AUGCCCUACCCGCCGUCUGCUCCCAAGGCCGCCACCGCCGACUCUCUGUACGGUGUCUACUCCGAGCACGUUGCCGCCAUGGCCACCUCCCCGCCACCGCCGGCGGUGGCCGGGCCACAGGCACUCGAGACGGGCACGAAGCUGCACAUCUCCAACCUCGACUCCAGCGUCACCGUCGAGGACGUCCAGGAACUCUUUUCAGAGAUUGGUGAGCUCAGACGUUAUUCUGUUAACUACGAUAAGGAUGGGAAGUCUCAGGGAAGCGCGGAAGUUGUCUUUGCAAGAAAAGUAGAUGCUUUGGAUGCUAUUGAGAGAUAUAAUGGUGUUCUGCUUGAUGGGAAGCCAAUGAAGAUAGAGCUCAUUGGAAAUAAGACCGAGCCACACCCAACAGAACCUUUGAUGUACAACGGCACUUCUUCUAACUACAAUGCAACUCCAAACAGUUUGCUUCAGAGAGGUGACCAGAGAGGGCCAUUUCAUGGUAAUGGUCGUUCUGGAGGCAGUGGUCAGGGCGGUGCUGGCAAAAGAGGAAUGUUUCAAGGCAACGUUCGUCCUGGAAACACUGUCCAGGACGGUGGUGGGCGGGGACAGGGCAGAGCCAGAGGGCAUGAUCGCAGCCGAGUUCCGGCCUCUGCUGCGGAUCUUGAUGCUGAACUGGAGCAGUAUCAUGCAGCAGCAGUGAAGCAAAAAUGA
RNAcentral lists this ribosomal RNA (693 nucleotides) under Triticum aestivum (bread wheat). RNAcentral describes it as "partial small subunit ribosomal RNA". Lineage: Eukaryota; Viridiplantae; Streptophyta; Magnoliopsida; Poales; Poaceae. The record is from RNAcentral.